AACGAACGCUGGCGGCAUGCCUAACACAUGCAAGUCGAACGAGACCUUCGGGUCUAGUGGCGCACGGGUGCGUAACGCGUGGGAACCUGCCCUUAGGUUCGGAAUAACUCCCCGAAAGGGGUGCCAAUACCGGAUAAUGUCUUCGGACCAAAGAUUUAUCGCCUUUGGAUGGGCCCGCGUUGGAUUAGCUAGUUGGUAGGGUAAAAGCCUACCAAGGCGACGAUCCAUAGCUGGGAUGAGAGGAUGAUCAGCCACACUGGGAGUGAGCCACGGCCCAGACUCCUACGGGAGGCAGCAGUGGGGAAUAUUGGACAAUGGGCGAAAGCCUGAAGCAGCUAUGCCGCGUGAGUGAUGAAGGCCUUAGGGUUGUAAAGCUCUUUUACCCGGGAUGAUAAUGACAGUACCGGGAGAAUAAGCUCCGGCUAACUCCGUG
RNAcentral lists this ribosomal RNA (433 nucleotides) under uncultured bacterium. RNAcentral describes it as "partial 16S ribosomal RNA". It matches the Rfam family "Bacterial small subunit ribosomal RNA", at positions 29 to 507 of the family's 1533-position model. The record is from RNAcentral.